UACGUAGGGGGCAAGCGUUGUCCGGAUUUAUUGGGCGUAAAGAGCGUGUAGGCGGCCAGGUAGGUCGGUUGUGAAGACUAGAGGCUCAACCUCUAGACGUCGACCGAAACCAUCUGGCUAGAGUCCGGAAGAGGAGAGUGGAAUUCCUGGUGUAGCGGUGAAAUGCGCAGAUAUCAGGAAGAACACCCGUGGCGAAAGCGGCUCUCUGGGACGGUACUGACGCUGAGACGCGAAAGCGUGGGGAGCGAACAGG
Molecule: ribosomal RNA, 253 nt
Filed under: uncultured bacterium
Lineage: Bacteria
Description: partial 16S ribosomal RNA
Rfam family: Bacterial small subunit ribosomal RNA
Source: RNAcentral